GAGUCAUGUGGAUUGUGUUGGAGUUCACUUGUGUAGUGUCCUCAAGCACUGAUAAGGUUUUCUCGUUUAUCCUUAAAUGGGCCUGGCAGUCUUGAUCUUCAGAAAUCUGGGCACCUAACACGUCUUGCUGGAAGUUUGUCUUUCACUUGCUUUUCUUGGCUGUGUCAUAUUAAGUGGAUCUUUGCAGAAUAGAAUGACAGCUGCUGGGGCCUUGUGACAGACUAGGCAGAUGAGUAAUGACAGUGUGGUAGGAGAGCUGCUGAGGAUGGUGGUCCGUCCCUUUGAUCAAGGUGCAGUGGGACCUCAGUGUCAAAGCCCCUGACAUUGAGCACUGAGCUGUCUUCCUGUGGAUUACUCUAUCUGGUCGUGAACUGCUUGAAAGGAAAUGAUUUAUUAUAAAAACGAGACUUUUAAGAUGUUUUUCCUUUAUUGCCCUUUCUAUUCUGGUGAUAGCUAAUUUGGCGUGCAUAAACUGGGAUCUGGUUGAUUGGGACCCUCUCUAUGAUGUCACUUGGGAAGAUGACCCUGGAGGCAAAAUGCUAGUAUGUGUCGUCUCCCUCCUAGGUCAGCCUUACAUCUGGAGACUGUUGAAGGAAGUCCCAAGGCCAUGAGUCCGUGACCCUUGGGAUGACUUGGGAUCUGGGUUUGCUGAUAUUUCUCCCAAGGCUCUCUUGGUGGUGUUCAUGGACACCAGAGGGGCAGAGAGUGGAGAUUGAGGUCACCACAUGAAGUGUCGUCAGAGCUCCUCCUCAUUGUCUGCUCAGAGCAUCAUGGAACAACCGUUCACUCUGUGUGAGAGAUCAGAGGGAAAGCACUGGAACUGGGGGCUUGGGGUCCACUUCAACUGGCUCUGAGUCUUGACCACAGUACCCUUUAGAGGGCCAUGGACAGGAAAGGCCAGCCCCGUGUCCCUGUGACACGCCUGG
Molecule: non-coding RNA, 926 nt
Organism: Ceratotherium simum simum (southern white rhinoceros)
Lineage: Eukaryota; Metazoa; Chordata; Mammalia; Perissodactyla; Rhinocerotidae
Source: RefSeq, a predicted model, not a curated record